UGCAGGAGGCAGCUCAGUCAUAAUAAACUUAAGUAUAUAUAUAUAUAUAUACUGGCAAGGUAUAUGAAAUCAAUUUAACUGUAAGCAGUUGUUGUUAAACAACGUAUUAUUUUACCUGUUUCAUUCAUAAAAAUCUGUGGGAAUAUCAUUGAUCGUUUUGAUCCAAUAGCUGAAUAGAAGGCGGGGCUUAGACUGCUAAUAAAUUGAGCCCUCCAAACUUGAAUAUUACAUUGAAACACAUGGUGUAGGCGAUAUAAUGUGUAUAACUACAAUUCAUGAUACUGAUGCAACAGUUGUGUUAUGAUAUUUAUUGUAGAUUAGAAUUUUAUCUUUUAUUCAAAAGGACGAUAUUAGAAACGAGAAAAAUAUAUUGCUCAAUAGAAGACUAAGACGACGAGAUAUUAGAUUUUAAAUUUUUGAAAAAAUUAAAUCGAAUUUAAAAUUAACAAUGCAGACAACUAUCUUAUAUAAAGUGUUGAAAGUGACUUUAGUUAUAGUGGUAUUGAGUUGCUGUUCUCGGAAGUCAUCCGCUGUACCCAGUGGCAUGCGAUGUUACAAUCCACACAGUUGUCUAAAUGGAGGAACUCUUAUAAUGCCGAGAUCUAUAUUCGGGUACUGCCGGUGUCUAUGUACAAGAGACUGGGGAGGACCUAUGUGUGAACUAAAAAGAUACCCUAGAAUACGAUUUAAGAAACUUAUUAGAAUUAAACAUGCUUUGAAAAAUAUACUCAGUAAGCGAAUGGUGAUAAGCUGAUAAAGAGUAAAAAUAUGGUAAGUUAACAUUUAUUUAUUUAUUUUGUAUGU
Molecule: long non-coding RNA, 804 nt
Filed under: Mytilus galloprovincialis (Mediterranean mussel)
Lineage: Eukaryota; Metazoa; Mollusca; Bivalvia; Mytilida; Mytilidae
Source: RNAcentral